AGUGAACGCUGGCGGUAGGCCUAACACAUGCAAGUCGAACGGCAGCACAGAGGAGCUUGCUCCUUGGGUGGCGAGUGGCGGACGGGUGAGGAAUACAUCGGAAUCUACUCUGUCGUGGGGGAUAACGUAGGGAAACUUACGCUAAUACCGCAUACGACCUACGGGUGAAAGCAGGGGAUCUUCGGACCUUGCGCGAUUGAAUGAGCCGAUGUCGGAUUAGCUAGUUGGCGGGGUAAAGGCCCACCAAGGCGACGAUCCGUAGCUGGUCUGAGAGGAUGAUCAGCCACACUGGAACUGAGACACGGUCCAGACUCCUACGGGAGGCAGCAGUGGGGAGUAUUGGACAAUGGGCGCAAGCCUGAUCCAGCCAUACCGCGUGGGUGAAGAAGGCCUUCGGGUUGUAAAGCCCUUUUGUUGGGAAAGAAAUCCAGCCGGCUAAUACCUGGUUGGGAUGACGGUACCCAAAGAAUAAGCACCGGCUAACUUCGUGCCAGCAGCCGCGGUAAUACGAAGGGUGCAAGCGUUACUCGGAAUUACUGGGCGUAAAGCGUGCGUAGGUGGUUAUUUAAGUCCGUUGUGAAAGCCCUGGGCUCAACCUGGGAACUGCAGUGGAUACUGGAUGACUAGAAUGUGGUAGAGGGUAGCGGAAUUCCUGGGUGUAGCAGUGAAUGCGUAGAGAUCAGGAGGAACAUCCAUGGCGAAUGCUGCUACCUGGACCCUACAUUUGUCACUGAGGCACGAAAGCGUUGGGAGGGAAACAAG
RNAcentral lists this ribosomal RNA (762 nucleotides) under uncultured Stenotrophomonas sp. RNAcentral's name for it is "bacterial SSU rRNA". It matches the Rfam family "Bacterial small subunit ribosomal RNA", at positions 28 to 776 of the family's 1533-position model. Lineage: Bacteria; Pseudomonadati; Pseudomonadota; Gammaproteobacteria; Lysobacterales; Lysobacteraceae. The record is from RNAcentral.